CAGUAGCCGCGGGAAAACGGAGGGUCAAGCGUUAAUCGGAAUUACUGGGCGUAAAGCGCACGCAGGCGGUCUGACAAGUCAGAUGUGAAAUCCCCGGGCUUAACCUGGGAACUGCAUUUGAAACUGUCAGGCUGGAGUCUUGUAGAGGGGGGUGGAAUUCCAGGUGUAGCGGUGAAAUGCGUAGAGAUCUGGAGGAAUACCGGUGGCGAAGGCGGCCCCCUGGACAAAGACUGACGCUCAGGUGCGAAAGCGUGGGGAGCAAACAGGAUUAGAUACCCGUGUAGUCCCUGUCUCUUAUACA
Molecule: ribosomal RNA, 301 nt
Filed under: uncultured bacterium
Lineage: Bacteria
Description: partial 16S ribosomal RNA
Rfam family: Bacterial small subunit ribosomal RNA
Source: RNAcentral